AUUGAACGCUGGCGGCAUGCUUUACACAUGCAAGUCGAACGGCAGCACGGGUGCUUGCACCUGGUGGCGAGUGGCGGACGGGUGAGUAAUACAUCGGAACGUGUCCAGAAGAGGGGGAUAACGCAUCGAAAGAUGUGCUAAUACCGCAUAUACUCUAAGGAGGAAAGCAGGGGAUCGAAAGACCUUGCGCUUUUGGAGCGGCCGAUGUCUGAUUAGCUAGUUGGUGGGGUAAUGGCCUACCAAGGCGACGAUCAGUAGUUGGUCUGAGAGGACGACCAGCCACACUGGGACUGAGACACGGCCCAGACUCCUACGGGAGGCAGCAGUGGGGAAUUUUGGACAAUGGGCGCAAGCCUGAUCCAGCAAUGCCGCGUGAGUGAAGAAGGCCUCGGUUGUAAG
RNAcentral lists this ribosomal RNA (399 nucleotides) under uncultured bacterium. RNAcentral's name for it is "bacterial SSU rRNA". It matches the Rfam family "Bacterial small subunit ribosomal RNA", at positions 30 to 429 of the family's 1533-position model. The record is from RNAcentral.